RNAcentral lists this ribosomal RNA (1190 nucleotides) under Salmonella enterica subsp. enterica. RNAcentral's name for it is "partial 23S ribosomal RNA". It matches the Rfam family "Bacterial large subunit ribosomal RNA", at positions 1745 to 2925 of the family's 2925-position model. Lineage: Bacteria; Pseudomonadati; Pseudomonadota; Gammaproteobacteria; Enterobacterales; Enterobacteriaceae. RNAcentral also lists the same sequence under 1 other name. The record is from RNAcentral.
GGUGAAGUGAUUUACUCAUGGAGCUGAAGUCAGUCGAAGAUACCAGCUGGCUGCAACUGUUUAUUAAAAACACAGCACUGUGCAAACACGAAAGUGGACGUAUACGGUGUGACGCCUGCCCGGUGCCGGAAGGUUAAUUGAUGGGGUCAGCGCAAGCGAAGCUCCUGAUCGAAGCCCCGGUAAACGGCGGCCGUAACUAUAACGGUCCUAAGGUAGCGAAAUUCCUUGUCGGGUAAGUUCCGACCUGCACGAAUGGCGUAAUGAUGGCCAGGCUGUCUCCACCCGAGACUCAGUGAAAUUGAACUCGCUGUGAAGAUGCAGUGUACCCGCGGCAAGACGGAAAGACCCCGUGAACCUUUACUAUAGCUUGACACUGAACAUUGAGCCUUGAUGUGUAGGAUAGGUGGGAGGCUUUGAAGUGUGGACGCCAGUCUGCAUGGAGCCGACCUUGAAAUACCACCCUUUAAUGUUUGAUGUUCUAACGUGGACCCGUAAUCCGGGUUGCGGACAGUGUCUGGUGGGUAGUUUGACUGGGGCGGUCUCCUCCUAAAGAGUAACGGAGGAGCACGAAGGUUGGCUAAUCCUGGUCGGACAUCAGGAGGUUAGUGCAAUGGCAUAAGCCAGCUUGACUGCGAGCGUGACGGCGCGAGCAGGUGCGAAAGCAGGUCAUAGUGAUCCGGUGGUUCUGAAUGGAAGGGCCAUCGCUCAACGGAUAAAAGGUACUCCGGGGAUAACAGGCUGAUACCGCCCAAGAGUUCAUAUCGACGGCGGUGUUUGGCACCUCGAUGUCGGCUCAUCACAUCCUGGGGCUGAAGUAGGUCCCAAGGGUAUGGCUGUUCGCCAUUUAAAGUGGUACGCGAGCUGGGUUUAGAACGUCGUGAGACAGUUCGGUCCCUAUCUGCCGUGGGCGCUGGAGAACUGAGGGGGGCUGCUCCUAGUACGAGAGGACCGGAGUGGACGCAUCACUGGUGUUCGGGUUGUCAUGCCAAUGGCACUGCCCGGUAGCUAAAUGCGGAAGAGAUAAGUGCUGAAAGCAUCUAAGCACGAAACUUGCCCCGAGAUGAGUUCUCCCUGAGACUUAGAGUCUCCUGAAGGAACGUUGAAGACGACGACGUUGAUAGGCCGGGUGUGUAAGCGCAGCGAUGCGUUGAGCUAACCGGUACUAAUGAACCGUGAGGCUUAACCUUACA